Molecule: long non-coding RNA, 406 nt
Filed under: Prunus persica (peach)
Lineage: Eukaryota; Viridiplantae; Streptophyta; Magnoliopsida; Rosales; Rosaceae
Description: long non-coding RNA (PPER_LNC008336)
Source: RNAcentral
GUCAGUCUUUUUUUUUUUUCUUUCUCGAUGAGGGCUAUGUGUGAUGAGGUUGGAUAGAAGAACUACAACAAAAAUAGGCAUCAAAUUCUCAGUGGUCGUAUUUAGUGACCAAAAUUGAAACUUUUGUAACCACAAUUUGCUCCUCUGUAUCUGUUAGCAGAGUUAGGGCUUUUUUUUUCUUUUUUCUUUUUUUUUUUAAAUUAGAAGUAAAUUAAGUUUUUUGUUUUAAGGAUGAUGUGUCAAUUUUCAAUCCCUUAGAUUAAAUUUCAAUAAAGAGGUGUAUGGAGAGCAAACGUCAAACAUAUUCUAGCUAGCAUAGAAAACCAAAACAUAGCAUCCAAAUCCCAAAUUACCAUCAUAAAUACGAAAGGUUGUUUGUUCAUGGCCAUAAUGCUUUACAAAAGCG